CCCCUGUGAAAAUACCUUAUGUUGCCUCGGCGGAUCAGCCCGCGCCCCGUAAAAAGGGACGGCCCGCCGCAGGAACCCUAAACUCUGUUUUUAGUGGAACUUCUGAGUAUAAAAAACAAAUAAAUCAAAACUUUCAACAACGGAUCUCUUGGUUCUGGCAUCGAUGAAGAACGCAGCAAAAUGCGAUAAGUAAUGUGAAUUGCAGAAUUCAGUGAAUCAUCGAAUCUUUGAACGCACAUUGCGCCCGCCAGUAUUCUGGCGGGCAUGCCUGUUCGAGCGUCAUUUCAACCCUCAAGCCCAGCUUGGUGUUGGGAGCUGCAGUCCUGCUGCACUCCCCAAAUACAUUGGCGGUCACGUCGAGCUUCCAUAGCGUAGUAAUUUACACAUCGUUACUGGUAAUCGUCGCGGCCACGCCGUUAAACCCCAACUUCUGAAUGUUGACCUCGGAUCAGGUAGGAAUACCCGCUGAACUUAAGCAUAUCAAUAAGCGGAGGAA
RNAcentral lists this ribosomal RNA (496 nucleotides) under Fusarium graminearum. RNAcentral's name for it is "eukaryotic LSU rRNA". The stretch from base 129 to 282 matches the Rfam family "5.8S ribosomal RNA". The record is from RNAcentral. Lineage: Eukaryota; Fungi; Ascomycota; Sordariomycetes; Hypocreales; Nectriaceae.